UGUGAUGCUCAGCCCAAAUGCCUUGACUCCCCUCCCACGUUAACUUUUUGAAGAAAGGAGAUAAGUGCUACUACUUUCCAGUUCUGCUACUCUUAAAUUAGAAUUUGCCAAAUUGUUCAAUACAGCAGUACCUCUGCAACAGGGCUGUAGAAAGCCGUUCCUGUUGUCUACAUCAAAGCGUAGUGGCAGAUUUCCCUUUGGAAGUCAGAGCCUGUUUCAAACGUCUCUUCAAGUCCUGCAUAUUUGGUGACUUGGGUCGCACAAGGUGGAGGCCUCUUCGCUUCUCUCCAUUGCAGCUCCCAAUCAUCCUGCUGACCUCCUGGCAGAGCUGCUGGAAGGCUUCAUGCACUCCUUCACAGUUCUCUCGGGCUGAGACUUCAUAAAGAAUACAGAUCUGCUGGCUGGCUCCAAAAGAGAAGCAACACAAUCAACAGAAACAGAAGUUAAAGUCCUUUUGGGUAACCAGAUAUUGUGCCAGUGCCGAGGAACUCCAGAAGGAUCUCACAAAAGUGAGUGAGUACACAUAAAGUCAGCAGGUGAGCAAGAGUUCCUACAGUCAUCACUGUCAGUUCACACUGUGUGAAACAGCAGCAGAAAGAGCCAGCAAACUGUUUGGUUUCCUUGGAAGGUGAAUGGAGGAGAUGUAGGCUAGGAUUUUGCUGCUUAAAUGAACUCUUGUAGCACGGCCUGCCGCUCUCUGCAUCUCAGAACCAUGGUGGAUGCUGUGAAGGUGCAUGGUAGGGUACCAAAACUGAUCAUGGCUGUGGAGCAGCUGCUGCAUGUGGAGAGGCUGGAGAAGCUGUUUACCAUGUGCCUGUAUGGAUGGAUGCUGGUGCUGACACAAGAAGGGAGAUGUGUGGGGGCAGGAAUGAAAGACCAAUGGUGGAGGAAAUGUUGAACUGCUUCUUUGGGCAGCUGUGAUGGCAUCUGGUUGCUUAAGACAAAUGGGAAAGCAGUUUUAGACUGCACCCUGGAUGCAGACCAAUCCAUUUCCAGUUCUUUUACUAAUAUGGUUCAAUCUAAAUUCCUUAUGCCCUAACCCAGGGUUAGCUUGUUCCUACUGUGAGCAGUAAGCUCUGUCCAGGAAGAAGGGGGUUUAGUGACACUAAAAAAAGCAGCAUAUUCUCCAAAAUCUUAAAUCUGUUCUCAAGCUCUUCCAUCCCAAAUCAUAACUUUUAGUCUCUAAGCCUGAAAGAGUCAGAGUAAGAUACAGAAUCAAAGCCAGAGGUUUUCCUUAUCUGAUUCUCUAGGCUGUCAAAACAGGCUUAGCACUGAGUGAAACCACUCGGAAGGAUUCACCCUCUUUGAGAUUGUAUAACCCUUGGCAUGUAGAGAAGAGCUGUUUUGAGAAGAGAUCUUCAUUGUUUGUGCACAAUGGACUUAUAUUUAGCUAAGAAACCCAUGUUUUAAAUUUGAAUUGUCUUGGAGAAACAAUAGCUUAAAUUAGAGGGACUGUGUUUGCAAAACUCUGAGCAACUUUGAAAACAUUUGGCAGAUUCUGGACAUUUCACUGCCCACUCCUUGGGUUGCUCCAUGCACAGAUCUGCCCCUUUGCAUGUUGCACAGAGAUGAUGCUAUUUCCACACCAGAUUUUGCACAGAUUUCUUUACUGGCUGUGUUGCUUUUGGCUAUGGCUUUGAUAAGAUUUGCUAUUUUUGUUGUUGUUGGCAGCCCUACACAUCUUCAGAGAUGGAGCUUUCUAAAAAUAGAAAUAUUUGCUAUUACCAUAGUGCUUUUCAUAUAAGGAUGUCAAAUUGCCUUUAAAACUGGAUAUGAUUGUUCCUCAUCCACUUCACACAAGGAGCAACAGAUGAACAACCUUGCUAAGAUGCCAGUGUGUUGGGAAAUGGUGAUUCCCUUCUGCCUAGGGGAAAGAGUGGUGGCAAAACUCCCACUUCUCACUGGUAAAAGUGUUCUUUCCUCUAAAAGGCUAUUUGUACCAGUGAUACUUGCCUUGAGUACCUCUCAGAUGUUUCUGUAGAGCAAAGUGAGGUUGUGGUGCCAUGGCUGGAGCACUACAGCUCGUUUCUGAGCAGAAGCACUAAAUGUGGUGCUGGGGAAACGCCAGUUGCUUUGGCAGAUGCUGUGAUUAAACCCAUACUUGGUGGCUCAUGCACACAUCCCUGCUCCUGAUUAUCUUCCCAGCACCAGCAGACUGAUCUUUGAGGCUUUGUCUGA
Neopsephotus bourkii (Bourke's parrot) is the source of this 2178-nucleotide long non-coding RNA. RefSeq lists it as uncharacterized. The record is from RefSeq and is a predicted model, not a curated record. The transcript has 4 exons. Lineage: Eukaryota; Metazoa; Chordata; Aves; Psittaciformes; Psittacidae.